UUACGGAGUGCUGUAUUUGUGAUACUUAAUGCAACAGUGCUGUACUUUACAUAUCUGUAUAAUACUUAUAAUAUCAUUGUUGUUCUAAGUUGAUUAAACCUAUUUAAUUGCAAGCAAAAGUUUAACAGAUCUAAAAAAUAAUUUGAAUUCAUAUUCAGUUAAAAUACAUUUAAUUUUAAUCAGACUAAACUAUAAAAUAAUUGAAUUUCAGUUAGGUGAAUGAGUCAAGUUCUGUAAACUUACAGUCUAACUACAACAAUGAAUUAGAAAAACUUCCAACUUGAACAAAUUUAAUCAUGCGCAUGCGCCACAAUACUACGUCAUGACGGCGCAUUACUUCACCAGAGUUUGAAAAAUGCACCUUCAGCCAUCUUUCUGUGAUCGCGAUGCGCGAGGCAACUUUGCUGAUCAAAGAAGAAAACAAAGGAGCGCACGUUUGGAUGACUACAGAUGAGACGUUAUGUAUUACAAAUAAGAUCAGUACAGAUUUGUUAUUGGAGAUACAGUGCAAGCUGUGUGGAAUCAAAGACCUGUAUGUAUUGAUGAGGCCAGUGUCAGUGAAGAUGGUGUGGUCACUGGAAUCCUGGUGUUUGUGGGAAAUGUGAAGGAGCUUCUCCCAGGAUUCUACAACAGUGUUGUCCUGAUGACUGAGGUAUUUAUUUUUUUUACUUUCUUGCCUCUUUGGAACAUGUUCAUUUAUGCAUACUGUGUAGAGGUGGUUCGCAGCUUCAUGGACA
Megalobrama amblycephala (Wuchang bream) is the source of this 737-nucleotide long non-coding RNA. RefSeq lists it as uncharacterized. The record is from RefSeq and is a predicted model, not a curated record. The transcript is spliced from 4 exons. NCBI's taxonomy places the organism in Eukaryota, Metazoa, Chordata, Actinopteri, Cypriniformes, Xenocyprididae.